GACGAACGCUGGCGGCGUGCUUAACACAUGCAAGUCGAACGGAAAGGCCCUGCUUUUGUGGGGUGCUCGAGUGGCGAACGGGUGAGUAACACGUGAGUAACCUGCCCUUGACUUUGGGAUAACUUCAGGAAACUGGGGCUAAUACCGGAUAGGAGCUCCUGCUGCAUGGUGGGGGUUGGAAAGUUUCGGCGGUUGGGGAUGGACUCGCGGCUUAUCAGCUUGUUGGUGGGGUAGUGGCUUACCAAGGCUUUGACGGGUAGCCGGCCUGAGAGGGUGACCGGCAACAUUGGGACUGAGAUACGGCCCAGACUCCUACGGGAGGCAGCAGUGGGGAAUAUUGCACAAUGGGCGGAAGCCUGAUGCAGCAACGCCGCGUGCGGGAUGACGGCCUUCGGGUUGUAAACCGCUUUCGCCUGUGACGAGGCGUGAGUGACGGUAAUGGGUAAAGAAGCACGGGCUAACUACGUG
Molecule: ribosomal RNA, 468 nt
Filed under: uncultured bacterium
Lineage: Bacteria
Description: partial 16S ribosomal RNA
Rfam family: Bacterial small subunit ribosomal RNA
Source: RNAcentral